ACAAUCAGAACGUCUAUUUCUCUUUCUUUCACCAGCUUCGUUUCUUUCUCUCACAUGGCCGAAAUAACUCCGCCUUCGUCAUGGGUUCCGGCGACGGUGGCCGGAAAUGAGAAAUUAGUAUACCAAUUUAACCGUCUCUUCUCCCUCAUUACGAAUCCGAUCUCAAAAUUUACCAAUUUCUUACCAAAAUCAUUUAAUUUCAAAUUCUACAUAUAAAACCUAAACAAUCAAAGUGAAAUUAAACAACCAUGAAACACAGUUUCAAUCAAUUUUUAUGGGGGAUUUUGAUCAGCACAACGCAAGGAACAAAGUGGUAUCAAGAAACUAAAAAAAAAAGCGAAAGACUCACGUAACUGGAGCUGGUCUGGCGAGUUCUAAUUACGACGGUGGUUUCCACUUCAGUUUCUGCAGCAACAAGACAAAAAUGCUUUUCUGCUCAAAGACAGAAGCAACAUCAAAUGACAGGAUCAACUGUGUUACUUUUUUGGGUUACUGCAAAAUUGGACAAAUAUGUAACUGAUAUAAUUGAAUUUCUUUUAAGUUUUUCUUUGAAAAAUCACUGUAUAAAUUUGACUGUAUUAGUUACUACUUAAUUGAAAUCCCUCUAUUUUAUAA
This is a long non-coding RNA of Lathyrus oleraceus (garden pea), 615 nucleotides long. RefSeq lists it as uncharacterized. The record is from RefSeq and is a predicted model, not a curated record. The transcript has 2 exons. Lineage: Eukaryota; Viridiplantae; Streptophyta; Magnoliopsida; Fabales; Fabaceae.